UGACUUACCUGGCAGGGGAGAUACCAUGAUCACGUAGGUAGUUUUCCCAGGGUAAGGCUCAUCCAUUGCACUCCAGGUGUGCUGACCCCUGUAAUUUCCCUAAACGCGGGAAACUCAACUGCAUUGUUUGUGGUAGUGGGGGACUGCACUUGCGCUUGCUCCUG
Chlorocebus sabaeus (green monkey) is the source of this 164-nucleotide small nuclear RNA. Its record names the gene U1. It matches the Rfam family "U1 spliceosomal RNA". Rfam says of the family: U1 is a small nuclear RNA (snRNA) component of the spliceosome (involved in pre-mRNA splicing). Its 5' end forms complementary base pairs with the 5' splice junction, thus defining the 5' donor site of an intron. The record is from Ensembl. NCBI's taxonomy places the organism in Eukaryota, Metazoa, Chordata, Mammalia, Primates, Cercopithecidae.